GCCAGUGUGGUGUAGUGGUUUGAGCGUUGGACUGUGACUCUGGAGACCAGGGUUCGAAUCCCUGCUUGUCC
Molecule: transfer RNA, 71 nt
Filed under: Phrynosoma platyrhinos (Desert horned lizard)
Lineage: Eukaryota; Metazoa; Chordata; Lepidosauria; Squamata; Phrynosomatidae
Description: tRNA-OTHER
Source: RNAcentral